AGAGUUUGAUCAUGGCUCAGGAUGAACGCUAGCUACAGGCUUAACACAUGCAAGUCGAGGGGAAACGACAUCGAAAGCUUGCUUUUGAUGGGCGUCGACCGGCGCACGGGUGAGUAACGCGUAUCCAACCUGCCCAUCACUUGGGGAUAACCUUGCGAAAGUAAGACUAAUACCCAAUGAUAUCUCUAGAAGGCAUCUGAAAGAGAUUAAAGAUUUAUCGGUGAUGGAUGGGGAUGCGUCUGAUUAGCUUGUUGGCGGGGUAACGGCCACCAAAGCAACGAUCAGUAGGGGUUCUGAGAGGGAGGUCCCCCCANAUUGGAACUGAGACACGGUCCAAACUCCUACGGGAGGCA
RNAcentral lists this ribosomal RNA (353 nucleotides) under uncultured bacterium. RNAcentral describes it as "bacterial SSU rRNA". It matches the Rfam family "Bacterial small subunit ribosomal RNA", at positions 8 to 350 of the family's 1533-position model. The record is from RNAcentral.